This 524-nucleotide ribosomal RNA is filed under the name uncultured bacterium. Its description in RNAcentral is "partial 16S ribosomal RNA". It matches the Rfam family "Bacterial small subunit ribosomal RNA", at positions 28 to 523 of the family's 1533-position model. The record is from RNAcentral.
GACGAACGCUGGCGGCGUGCCUAAUACAUGCAAGUCGAGCGCAGGAAACUGACGGAACUCUUCGGAGGGAAGGCAGCGGAAUGAGCGGCGGACGGGUGAGUAACACGUAAGGAACCUGCCUCAAGGAUUGGGAUAACUCCGAGAAAUCGGAGCUAAUACCGGAUAGUUCAUCGGACCGCAUGGUCCGUUGAUGAAAGGCGCUUCGGCGUCACCUUGAGAUGGCCUUGCGGUGCAUUAGCUAGUUGGUGGGGUAACGGCCCACCAAGGCGACGAUGCAUAGCCGACCUGGGAGGGUGAUCGGCCACACUGGGACUGAGACACGGCCCAGACUCGUACGGGAGGCAGCAGUAGGGAAUCUUCCACAAUGGACGAAAGUCUGAUGGAGCAACGCCGCGUGCGUGAUGAAGGUUUUCGGAUCGUAAAACUCUGUUGUAAGGGAAGAACACGUACGAGAGGAAAUGCUCGUACCUUGACGGUACCUUACGAGAAAGCCACGGCUAACUACGUGCCAGCAGCCGCCGUAA